ACGAACGCUAGCGGCAUGCCUUACACAUGCAAGUCGAACGGCAGCACGGGGGCAACCCUGGUGGCGAGUGGCGAACGGGUGAGUAAUGCAUCGGAACGUGCCCAUCGAUGGGGGAUAACUGCGCGAAAGCGUUGCUAAUACCGCAUACGACCUACGGGUGAAAGCAGGGGACCGCAAGGCCUUGCGUCGAUGGAGCGGCCGAUGCCGGAUUAGCUAGUUGGUGAGGUAAAGGCUCACCAAGGCGACGAUCAGUAGCUGGUCUGAGAGGAUGAUCAGCCACACUGGGACUGAGACACGGCCCAGACUCCUACGGGAGGCAGCAGUGGGGAAUAUUGGACAACGGGCGAAAGCCUGAUCCAGCAAUGCCGCGUGUGUGAAGAAGGCCUGCGGGUUGUAAAGCACUUUCAGUAGGGAAGAAAAGCCUAAGGUUAAUACCCUUGAGUCUUGACGUUACCUACAGAAGAAGCACCGGCUAACUCCGUG
RNAcentral lists this ribosomal RNA (483 nucleotides) under uncultured bacterium. RNAcentral's name for it is "bacterial SSU rRNA". It matches the Rfam family "Bacterial small subunit ribosomal RNA", at positions 29 to 507 of the family's 1533-position model. The record is from RNAcentral.